This 467-nucleotide ribosomal RNA is filed under the name uncultured bacterium. RNAcentral's name for it is "partial 16S ribosomal RNA". It matches the Rfam family "Bacterial small subunit ribosomal RNA", at positions 28 to 506 of the family's 1533-position model. The record is from RNAcentral.
GACGAACGCUGGCGGCGUGCUUAACACAUGCAAGUCGAACGGAAAGGCCCUGCUUUUGUGGGGUGCUCGAGUGGCGAACGGGUGAGUAACACGUGAGUAACCUGCCCUUGACUUUGGGAUAACUUCAGGAAACUGGGGCUAAUACCGGAUAGGAGCUCCUGCUGCAUGGUGGGGGUUGGAAAGUUUCGGCGGUUGGGGAUGGACUCGCGGCUUAUCAGCUUGUUGGUGGGGUAGUGGCUUACCAAGGCUUUGACGGGUAGCCGGCCUGAGAGGGUGACCGGCCACAUUGGGAUUGGGAUACGGCCCAGACUCCUACGGGAGGCAGCAGUGGGGAAUAUUGCACAAUGGGCGGAGGCCUGAUGCAGCAACGCCGCGUGCGGGAUGACGGCCUUCGGGUUGUAACCCGCUUUCGCCUGUGACGAAGCGUGAGUGACGGUAAUGGGUAAAGAAGCACCGGCUAACUACGU